UGACGUACUUUGGAAAUCGUUAUCGUCGUAACAAGGCGACACCUGUGUGCACCCGCGUAGGUUAGGUAGGUGUACGUACCAUAAUUCAUGCCCGUGUACAGGUAAAUAUCGAAACGCACGUCUACUUCAUUGUAUAUAAUAUAUGACUAUCAAUAUUGUUGUACAACUGUCGUCGCCGUCGCGGUCACCGGCGCCGCCGCAGCCCGCAAUACAGUUUUCGCACGACGCGCGUUUCGUCUCUGCGUGCGUGUGUCCGGCUGCACACGGUUUAUUAUAAUAUAGCGUCGACACCGGAAAAAUCGAUAGAAUAAAAAAAUCAUCACGCUAUAGUAAAAAAAAAUGUGCUCUCGCGGGACUAAUAUAUUUUACUAUAUGGUUAUUAUUGUACUUUUAGUUCGGUGAAAAUAGUUUGAUUUUUGUUUAAUAUACAUAUUAUAUCAACUCACCGCCGCGGUGCUUUCCAAUUUCCAGAUAUUAUUUCCAAUAUUAAGUUUUCACCUAUACCACCACCAAUUGUGCCCGUUUAUGUUACUGUGUGUGUGUGUGUGUGUGUGUGUGUGUGUGUGUAUGUGAUCAUGGAUAACUGAUCUGCUCGCUUCGUUGGUACGUGACAUUUCCGGGACUCAUUAUCGCACGUGUCUGUGUCGGAUACAUACCGGAGGAAACGCACCGAGCUAGGCAACCUCAGGCCACCAUCGUAUUAUGACGUGCUGAUGCGAUACGUUCAAUUUAGACCAUUGUCAAAACUGCAACGAUGGUGCAUUAGACAUAAGUGCAUAACACCCAUCCAUGCAAGGCACACGGAAAAACGGGACCACGACUUCUGCUCAUCGACGGCGGUCGGCCACCUCCUAUUGGGUACCAAAACAGGGUGAGUGAGAAUAAAUUACCUCCCUCCUGGCCGUUAGCAACGUAUAUUUGCUUGUAAUUAUAUUCCUUUGGAUACCGACAUAACAUUUUUAUUUCAAACAUUUGGGUGAACACCUGCCGAUGGAACUGCCUUAAUGCAAUCCUCGCUCGAUUUUUUAACGGGCGGACUCCGGGUAUUUUUUAAAUAAAUUUGAUUUUAACGUGAAAAAAUUCAUGACCCUGUUUUAAGCACCCAUUAACUGCAGUAAGUGUUUAGUUUUAUUAAUUAAUUUAAUUAAUUCUCUCGUUUAGCCUAUUCGUGAAUCGUAUAUAGAGCCAUAGAUUACUUUCCAUUAUACCACUUAUGAAAAUGUAACUCACGUAGUUUAAAAAAACAUUUUACUCUUUAACAUUGAAGUAGGUACUUACUUCUACUUGGCAUUAAUUGGCUCGUUCAUAUCUCUAUAGAGUAUAGAUUGUACCUACUAGAUGAUUUUUUUUAUUAGGUACAACAACUUUAUAUAUUACAUCUAUGGUCAAUAAGCAUAAUCUGCAUAUAAGCCACACAACCACUCAUUAUAACUAACAACUAUACAGUAUAUUAUACAUACUCGUAAUUUAGUAAUUAGAUAUAGUAAUUUUUAUUACUAAUCAGUAAUCUCUAUUAAGAAGUAUUAACAUGUUUCCAUAUAUUGUUAAUAGAUCCUUACUUAUUUGUUACAUAUCAAUAAACAAAGACCUAUUAUUGUGAUGAUGACAGUCUACCGUUAAGAUUCUUUUAUCAUAGUUACAAAUUAUAAGUAUUUAUGUUUUGUGUUUAGUCAUAAAUCAUAAUAUUAUGUAUUUAUAUUACUAUUUACAUUAAAUAGGUACUCAAGUACAGCCAAAUUCCAAAAUAGUUUUAAUAUCGUUAAAGGGCAGGGCAGUGUAAGAAAUAUAAUAACACUCGAAUCGGUUGAGUAAGAUUGUAGAAGUGUAGAACAAGGACUUUAGAAGUGUUCACAUUUAAUUUUGAUGGGUGGGUACCUAUCUUACUUGUACGUUUAGACGGUACAGACACGUUAGGCAGUUAACGAAUGAUUUUAAGUAAAUUUAAAUCAGAAAAAUAUAUAAGAAAGGUUAAAGUUAAAAGUUUAUAGGAUUAUAAACAAAUUAGUUUAAUAAUACUCGUAAUAGCCACGUUGGACAGUCAAUAGAAUUAAAAAAUAUAUAUAAGUUGUAAAUAGUUAGCUUAAUAGUAUAAUUACAUUUUCUAAAAAUAAUAAGUAGACAGGUACCAAAGUACUUAGGUACUCAUUUCAUUAAUAUUGCUAAUUUAAUAGUACAAUAUUAUCUACGACAUGCAUGCGCACGACGCACACAGUUGAUGAUAAUAUUUUGUAUAAAUUUUCAUUACAAUUUUUUCAAAUGAUUUCCCUAAUCUGCAUAAUAGGAAACUAGAAUUCUUAAUAAAUUUGGAUUUAAGAGUUGACAGAUCAAUUUUCUAAGGGUUUUUUCCUAGCUUUGCCCUCAGAAGAACUCGUGCACGGAUCAAGAUAGAAAUUAGACAAAAACACUUUACAUUAAUAAGCAUAUUAGCCAUUUGGCAUUAUAAUCUAUAAUAAUAUAUUAUAACCCGAAAUAUCACAACAAACUCGAAUCUUGAUAUAAUUGAUGUUUUAUUGUCGCACAUAUAUAAUAUCGUACACAAAUGUCAAGUCGAUAGUCACCGAAACAAAACCGUGUAAAUGUGAUCUAACUUUAAGUACCUAUAAUAAAGUAUGUUUUUAAUAUUAUUGUCAAUAAAUGGACGCAAGUAAAAAACAGCAGAUAAAUUAUUAAUUAAAUCAUUUUAUUUUUUCGUAUUUUAAACACGAAUAUUUGCAAACUACUCACGAUUACUAUUUUUUAAUUUUUACACCGAAAUUCCUGUGUUAUCACUUUUAUAUAGGUUUGAUUACGAUCUUAUCCACUCGGUACUGUCCACAUGAGUAAAUAAGUAGGUAUUUACGAGUACAUAAUACUCGAGUGCGUUUGGAAAAUUGCCAGUGGUUCUCAAUUUAAAAAUAAAAAUGCACUUUCAAAAUAUUUAGACGAUCCGUUUUUUAAUUAAAAACUCCUAACAUCGUCAACACUGUCUAUACAGUAUACACUAGGUAUACUAUUUUUUGAAACUCAAGAUUUUAUAAUAUUUCCCAUGUACCUAUGUAUAGGUUGUUCGCUAAUUGAUAUACCGGGUUACAAUUCUUUUAUAUAAAAUUCCUAAGUAUUAAUAGUCUCUUGGCACAAAAUCUGCAGUUGUUGUAAAUUUAACCAGUUAGUUUUUGGCUUGGUACCUAUAAUAUUUUAAUGACUAAUUUGUGAAUUCUAAAAACCAGUUUGUCGUUAUUUUCAAUUGACAUAUUUUUCGAAUCGAUGGGACGAAAUUAAACUUCGUGGAUAUUUUAAUAUGAUACAACGUAUAGAGUAGCUACAGGUACCAGCUACUAUCUACUUAUCUACGGGCUAAUUUUAAAUUUACUUUUGCUAAAACUCGUUAAAUUCUGAGUUUUGCCAUUCUUGGACCAUCGUUUUCAACACAAAAAAACAUAGAAAUUGCAUCAAAAAUAAAAUUAAGGGUGUCCAGUGUAAAAGAAAAUAUAAUUAAUACAAGUAAAAGGUAUUCAGCGGUAUUAUCGUUACUGAUAUUUUGUUCUUAAAUAUAGUAUUGAUAUAGUUGUUUAUUUAUUUUAAAAUUUAAAAUUAAUACUAGAAAAUACGUAUAGGUACUUAUAUAAAUUAAAAAGCAGAUAAUGUUUUUCUUAAAAAACAAAUUUCAAGCAAUCCAUACAUUUAGCGUCAUUAAUGUCAUUAAUGCCGACUGCCAGGCAGCAAUAUACCUACAAUAUUGUAUUUUCUGUGUAAGACGUAAACAUGCACCAUGUGUAUUGGAGAUAAUAUUAUAAUAAUAAUAU
This is a long non-coding RNA of Acyrthosiphon pisum (pea aphid), 3782 nucleotides long. RefSeq lists it as uncharacterized. Lineage: Eukaryota; Metazoa; Arthropoda; Insecta; Hemiptera; Aphididae. The record is from RefSeq and is a predicted model, not a curated record. The transcript has 3 exons.